UAGGGGAAAAUUUGUUGUUUUUUUUAUUUUGUUUUUUUUAUUAAAAAUAAUUUUGUUUGUUAUAUAUUAAAUUAAAUUAGUAGAUUUUGUUGAAUUUUUUUUUAUUAGAAAAUGUAAAAGUAUUGAUGAAGAAAUUUUAGAUUAAGGGUUAAGAAUGUUUAAUUUAUAGUACCUUUUGUAUCAGGGUUUAUGGAAUAAAAUUUAAAUAUUUUUGAUUUUCCCGAAAGGAGAAGAUUUAAAAAUUUAUUUAUAUUAAUGUGAAAAGUUAAGAUAAAAUAAAUUUUUUGUAAUGAAAAGUUAAUCGUUUCUGUUAUUUCUGGUUGCUUUAUAAUAAAAUUUAAUUUUUUUUUUUUUUGUUAAUUUUAAUGUAUUUUUUAUUUUUAAUAAAGAAAAAUUAAUUAAUAUAAAGAUAAUUUUGUAUUUGUUUUAUAAGUUAUGUUUUUUUUGUUAUUGUUAUUUUUAGUUGAAUUAAAAUUGUUUAUUUAAAGUAGUUUUUAAUAAAAAUUUAUUUAUAAAAUUUUAAUUUAGGGGGUUAAUUGUUGUUUAAUAUUUAUUAUAUAAAGUUAAUUAAAAUAGUUUUGGAGUUUUUUUAAUUAUUAAAAAAUUAGUAUAGUGAUUUUUGUGGUUAAUUAAGUUAAAUUAAUUUUAUUGGAAUUUGGCAAAAGUUUUUUUCGCUGGUUUAUCAAAAACAUGGCUUUAAGAGAAUUGAUUUUAGGUCGUUUCUGCUCACUGAUUAAUAAAAUUAUUAAAGGGCCGCAGUAAUUUGACUGUGCAAAGGUAGCAUAAUAAAUAGUUUUUUAAUUGAAAACUGGAAUGAAUGAAUUGAUGAAAGAUUAACUUUCUUUAAUUUUAGGUUAGAAUUUUAAUUUUGAAUAAAAAUUUUCAAAUUUUUUUAAAAGACGAGAAGACCCUAUAGAUUUUUAUUUUUAGUUAGUAAAAUUGAAUUAUAUUUUUGUUUUUGGUGGUUUUAUUAAUGAAAAUUUUGUUGGGGUGAUAUAAGGAGAUUAAAAUCUUUUUAAUAAUUUUUGUUUAAUUAUAUUUAUUUUUUAGAUCCUUUUUUUGGAUUGUUAGAUUAAAUUACCUUAGGGAUAACAGCAUAAUUUUAUUGGAAAGUUCAUAUUAAUAGUAAAGAUUGUGACCUCGAUGUUGAAUUAAGAUGAAAAGUGGGAGUAGACGUUCAUUUUUUUUAGUCUGUUCGACUAUUAAAAUCUUACAUGAUUUGAGUUCAGACCGGCGUAAGCCAGGUCAGUUUCUAUCUUUAAUUUAUUAAUAAAAGAUUAGUACGAAAGGAUUGUUUUUUAAAAAUAAUUUUUGAUUGUGGGAAUAUAAUUUAAUUUUUG
This 1340-nucleotide ribosomal RNA is filed under the name Neotrogla sp. 5 KY-2017. RNAcentral describes it as "16S ribosomal RNA". Lineage: Eukaryota; Metazoa; Arthropoda; Insecta; Psocodea; Prionoglarididae. The record is from RNAcentral.